UGUUGCGGUAAAAAGCUCGUAGUUGGAUUUCUGUUGGGACGCCGCGGUCCACUCCAUGAGUGCGUAUCUGUGUGCUUCCUGGCAUUCUCUCGGUGGACGUGUCUACGCUUCAUUGCGCAGCCGGACUUCGAGACUUUACUUUGAGGAAAUUAGAGUGUUCACGGCAGGCUUACGCCCGAAUAUACUAGCAUGGAAUAAUACUAUAGGAUUUUGGUUCUAUUUUGUUGGUUUCUAGAGCUGAAAUAAUGAUUAAUAGGGACAAUUGGGGGCAUUCGUACCAUGAUGUCAGAGGUGGAAUUCUUGGAUUAUCAUGCGACGAACUACUGCGAAAGCAUUUGCCAAGGAUGUUUUCAUUGAUCAAGAACGAAAGUUAGGGGAUCGAAGAUGAUUAGAUACCAUCGUAGUCUUUUUCAUAAACUAUGCCAACCAGAGAUCCGGCAGCGUCCAUUUACGGCCUGCUGGGCACCUUUCGAGAUAUCAGAGUUUUUCGGUUCCGGGGGGAGUACGGUUGCAAGACAGAAACUUAAAAGUAUUGACGGAAGGGCACCACCAGGGGUGGAGCCUGCGGCUUAAUUUGACUCAACACGGGGAAACUCACCAGGUCCAGACAUAAUAAGGAUUGACAGAUUGAUAGCUCUUUCUUGAUUUUAUGGGUGGUGGUGCAUGGCCGUUCUUAGUUCGUGGAGUGAUUCGUCUGCUUAAUUGCGUUAACGAACGAGACCUUAACCUGCUAAAUAGAAGCGCCUAUCUUCGGAUAAGCGUCUCUUCUUCUUAGAGGGACUGUCGGUGGCUUAAUCGAUGUAAGUUUGAGGCUAAAACAGGUCUGUGAUGCCCUUCGAUGUUCUGGGCUGCACGCGCGCUACACUGAUGCGUUCAACGAGUGUACAACCUUGCCCGAUAGGGUUGGGUAACCUUUUGAAAACGCAUCGUGAUGGGG
This 937-nucleotide ribosomal RNA is filed under the name uncultured Syndiniales. RNAcentral's name for it is "SSU rRNA". It matches the Rfam family "Eukaryotic small subunit ribosomal RNA", at positions 611 to 1575 of the family's 1831-position model. Lineage: Eukaryota; Dinophyceae; Syndiniales. The record is from RNAcentral.